ACCUCCUUUAAACAAACCGUUAUAAAAUGGCGGCAUUUCAUUUUAUUAGAGGAACAUGUUAGUUAAUCGAUUCCACACGACAAUUUUCACUUAGUUCAAAAUUUUAUAUACCACCAUUAGACAAAUUUAUAUAAAUAUAUUUUUUUAAAAAAAGUCUAAAAAAUUAGGUAAAGGUGUAAACAACAACUAAGAAAAAAUGUGUUACAUUAAAUUAAAUUUAAGAAUAACUAACAAAAAUUAAAUUUGAAAGAGGAUCCAAAAGUAAUAUUAAUUCAAUUACUUAAUAUGAAUAAAUAAAAAAAUGUGCACACAUCGCCG
RNAcentral lists this ribosomal RNA (318 nucleotides) under Ero juhuaensis. RNAcentral's name for it is "partial small subunit ribosomal RNA". The record is from RNAcentral. Lineage: Eukaryota; Metazoa; Arthropoda; Arachnida; Araneae; Mimetidae.